CCUACGGGUGACAGCAGUGAGGAAUAUUGGUCAAUGGACGAGAGUCUGAACCAGCCAAGUAGCGUGAAGGAUGACUGCUCUAUGGGUUGUAAACUUCUUUUAUAUGGGAAUAAAAUGUUCCACGUGUGGGAUUUUGUAUGUACCAUAUGAAUAAGGAUCGGCUAACUCCGUGCCAGCAGCCGCGGUAAUACGGAGGAUCCGAGCGUUAUCCGGAUUUAUUGGGUUUAAAGGGAGCGUAGGUGGAUUGUUAAGCCAGUUGUGAAAGUUUGCGGCUCAACCGUAAAAUUGCAGUUGAAACUGGCAGUCUUGAGUACAGUAGAGGUGGGCGGAAUUCGUGGUGUAGCGGUGAAAUGCUUAGAUAUCACGAAGAACUCCGAUUGCGAAGGCAGCUCACUGGACUGCAACUGACACUGAGGCUCGAAAGUGUGGGGAUCAAACAGGAUUAGAUACCCUUGUAGUC
This 460-nucleotide ribosomal RNA is filed under the name uncultured bacterium. RNAcentral describes it as "partial 16S ribosomal RNA". It matches the Rfam family "Bacterial small subunit ribosomal RNA", at positions 338 to 795 of the family's 1533-position model. The record is from RNAcentral.